AAAAAGGGUCGGUUGGCUAUGUGUGCCACAUCCAUCAAUCCAUGGGUGUUGUAUGGCUAUCAAGACAUAUGGCCGGCAUAAUUUGUGGAAAUAGAUAGGGUUGGCUCGCUAAGGCCGACCCUCCA
Molecule: small nuclear RNA, 125 nt
Organism: Oryza rufipogon (brownbeard rice)
Lineage: Eukaryota; Viridiplantae; Streptophyta; Magnoliopsida; Poales; Poaceae
Rfam family: U11 spliceosomal RNA
Source: Rfam